CAGAGUUGGCAAGACUCCCUAAACCAUUGUGAACCUACCUUCUACCGUUGCUUCGGGCGGGCGGGCCCAGCGCCCCCCCCGGCCCCCCGCGGGCGCCCGCCGGAGGAUACCCAAACUCUUGACAUUAGUGGCCUCUCUGAGUAUUCUUUACUGAAUAAGUCA
RNAcentral lists this unclassified non-coding RNA (162 nucleotides) under soil metagenome. RNAcentral describes it as "partial internal transcribed spacer 1". The record is from RNAcentral.